GACCCGGCGCAAAGGUCCGCCUUUUUGGUGUUGCACUUUUGCGCAGGGCCUUACCUCUUGGUGAACGGGUGUGUCCUUUAUUGGGUGCGCUCGGGAACCAGGACCUUUACCUUGAGAAAAUUAGAGUGUUUAAAGCAGGCUUACGCUUGAAUACAUUAGCAUGGAAUAAUAGAAUAGGAC
This 180-nucleotide ribosomal RNA is filed under the name uncultured Glomeromycotina. RNAcentral describes it as "partial small subunit ribosomal RNA". Lineage: Eukaryota; Fungi; Glomeromycota. The record is from RNAcentral.